CACUCCUGCGGGAGGCAGCAGUGGGGAAUUUUGGACAAUGGGCGAAAGCCUGAUCCAGCAAUGCCGCGUGAGUGAAGAAGGCCUUCGGGUUGUAAAGCUCUUUUGUCAGGGAAGAAACGGUGAAAGCUAAUAUCUUUUGCUAAUGACGGUACCUGAAGAAUAAGCACCGGCUAACUACGUGCCAGCAGCCGCGGUAAUACGUAGGGUGCAAGCGUUAAUCGGAAUUACUGGGCGUAAAGCGUGCGCAGGCGGUUUUGUAAGUCUGAUGUGAAAUCCCCGGGCUCAACCUGGGAAUUGCAUUGGAGACUGCAAGGCUAGAAUCUGGCAGAGGGGGGUAGAAUUCCACGUGUAGCAGUGAAAUGCGUAGAUAUGUGGAGGAACACCGAUGGCGAAGGCAGCCCCCUGUGUCAAGAUUGACGCUCAUGCACGAAAGCGUGGGGAGCAAACAGGAUUAGAUACCCCUGUAGUCCCA
RNAcentral lists this ribosomal RNA (472 nucleotides) under uncultured organism. RNAcentral describes it as "partial 16S ribosomal RNA". It matches the Rfam family "Bacterial small subunit ribosomal RNA", at positions 334 to 797 of the family's 1533-position model. The record is from RNAcentral.